GUGUGUGUGUGUGUGUGUGUGUGUGUGUGUGUGUGUGUGUGUGUGUGUGUGUGUGUGUGUGUGUGUGUGUGUGUGUGUGUGUGUGUGUGUGUUAUUGUGACACCUGCAGGAUUUCUGCCAGGUCCUCGUUGUUGUUGUCCAGCGCGAUGUCCAGCGCCGUUUUGGUGAAUUUACUCUGCGCGUGAACGUCAGCACCGAACCUCAGCAGCAGUGCCACGACUUCUCCAUGUCCGUGUUCCACU
Molecule: long non-coding RNA, 242 nt
Organism: Tachysurus fulvidraco (yellow catfish)
Lineage: Eukaryota; Metazoa; Chordata; Actinopteri; Siluriformes; Bagridae
Exons: 2
Source: RefSeq, a predicted model, not a curated record